GAGGAUGAUACCCUGGUAGUCCACACCGUAAACGCUGUCUACUAGCUGUCUGUGUAUUUAAUACGUGGGUAGCGUAGCUAACGCGCUAAGUAGACCGCCUGGGGAGUACGGCCGCAAGGUUAAAACUCAAAUGAAUUGACGGGGGCCCGCACAAGCGGUGGAGCAUGUGGUUUAAUUCGAUGCAACGCGAAGAACCUUACCAGGACUUGACAUCCUACUAAGUUACCAGAGAUGGUUUCGUGCCUUCGGGAAAGUAGUGACAGGUGCUGCAUGGCUGUCGUCAGCUCGUGCUG
This 293-nucleotide ribosomal RNA is filed under the name uncultured bacterium. RNAcentral's name for it is "partial 16S ribosomal RNA". It matches the Rfam family "Bacterial small subunit ribosomal RNA", at positions 773 to 1067 of the family's 1533-position model. The record is from RNAcentral.